GGCCAAAACUCACUUCACAGCUGUUGCAAAAGCAGGGGAAAAGUGAAGGAGGCAGACACAACUUGGAGGGGAAGAUAGGAGAGACAUGGCAUGGAUACUUGAAAAAAAAAAAAAAAACAGAAAACAAAAUCUUGUUCCACAUCAAAGCCAUCAAAAGGCAUGGCACGGCAUCAAGGGCAGGGACAUGCAGGACAUUCACCAAGGCUGGCCAAAAUUGAUCCCCGCUGAAGGUCAAAACAAAUAAGAAGGACUUAGGAACACUCUGGAAUAGAGAUAGCAUCCAAAGAAAUGAAAUUGAAGGAGAGAAAAAAAAAUUUUUGAAAUUUAGUGACUACAAGAAAGUGGUCUGGGUGGAAAUGAUGUGCAGUGCAAAGGACCAAAGGAGGCCAAAACUCACCUCACAGCUGUUCCAAAAUCAGGGGAAAAGUGAAGGAGGCAGACACAACUUGGAGGGGAAGAUAAGAGGGAAAUGGCAUGGAUAUUUAAAAAAAAAAAAAGGAAAAAAAAAUCUUGUUCCACAUCAAAGCCAUCAAAAGGCAUGGCACGGCAUCAAGGGCAGGGACAUGCAGGACAUUCACCAAGGCUGGCCAAAAUUGAUCCCCGCUGAAGGUCAAAACAAAUAAGAAGGACUUAGGAACACUCUGGAAUAGAGAUAGCAUCCAAAGAAAUGAAAUUGAAGGAGAGAAAAAAAAAUUUUUGAAAUUUAGUGACUACAAGAAAGUGGUCUGGGCCAAAAUGAAGUACAGUGCAAACCUCAAAAAGAGGCCAAAACUCACUUCACAGCUGUUGUAAAAGCAGGGGAAAAGUCAAGGAGGCAGACACAACUUGGAGGGGAAGAUAGGAGAGACAUGGCAUGGAUACUUGAAAAAAAAAAAAAAAAAGAAAAAAAAUCUUGGCCAAUGUAAAAGCCAUCAAAAGGCAUGGCAUGCUGUCAAGUGCUGGGACUUGCACCAAAGCUUGCCCCUUUAAUUCCCAUUGAAAUCGCAAGAUUUCGUUUCCCGUCCCGAAAGGAAAUUUCCUUUCGGGACGGGAAACGAAAUCUUGCGACCCUGAAAAGAAAGGCUUACAAACACUCCAGAAAGGAGAUAUGAUCAAAAGAAAUGCAAUUGAAAAAAACCCCCAAAAAAUGGAAAAUGGGGAGAUUUAGUGACUACAAGAAAGUAGUCUGGGCGGAAAUGAUGUGCAGUGCAAAGGACCAAAGGAGGCCAAAACUCACCUCACAGCUGUUCCAAAAGCAGGGGAAAAGUGAAGGAGGCAGACACAACUUGGAGGGGAAGAUAAGAGGGACAUGGCAUCGAUACUUAAAAAAAAAAAAAGGAAAAAAAAAAUCUUGUUCCACAUCAAAGCCAUCAAAAGGCAUGGCAAGCCAUCAAGGGCAGGGACAUGCAGGACAUUCACCAAGGCUGGCCAAAAUUGAUCCCCGCUGAAGGUCAAAACAAAUAAGAAGGACUUAGGAACAUUCUGGAAUAGAGAUAGCAUCCAAAGAAAUGAAAUUGAAGGAGAGAAAAAAAAAAUUUUUGAAAUUUAGUGACUACAAGAAAGUGGUCUGGGUGGAAAUGAUGUGCAGUGCAAAGGACCAAAGGAGGCCAAAACCCAC
Long non-coding RNA from Serinus canaria (Common canary), 1597 nucleotides. RefSeq lists it as uncharacterized. The record is from RefSeq and is a predicted model, not a curated record. The transcript has 3 exons. NCBI's taxonomy places the organism in Eukaryota, Metazoa, Chordata, Aves, Passeriformes, Fringillidae.